GGCCUGGCUGGACGGUCCGCCUUCUGGGUGAGUACUGUCUGUGGUCGGGUCCUACCUUCUGGCGAAGCGGCAUGGCCUUCACCGGCCGUGGCGGGGAACCAGGACUUUUACUGUGAAAAAAUUAGAGUGUUCAAAGCAGGCACGCGCUUGAAUACAUUAGCAUGGAAUAAUGGAAUAGGACAAUGGUUCUAUUUGUUGGUUUCUAGGACCGUUGUAAUGA
RNAcentral lists this ribosomal RNA (220 nucleotides) under uncultured fungus. RNAcentral's name for it is "partial 18S ribosomal RNA". The stretch from base 94 to 220 matches the Rfam family "Eukaryotic small subunit ribosomal RNA", at positions 738 to 868 of the family's 1831-position model. The record is from RNAcentral. Lineage: Eukaryota; Fungi.